RNAcentral lists this long non-coding RNA (732 nucleotides) under Lathyrus oleraceus (garden pea). RNAcentral describes it as "Pisum sativum (pea) long non-coding RNA (PSAT_LNC041869)". The record is from RNAcentral. Lineage: Eukaryota; Viridiplantae; Streptophyta; Magnoliopsida; Fabales; Fabaceae.
AUACAAAAUAUUUAAUGUAGUAUGUAGAUGAAUAUUAAUAUUGAGGAUGAUCAUCUAAUUCAGUCCUCGUGUUGAUCCAAAUAUAAAUUAUAUAAUUAAUACGAGAAAUGAUGACGAUUGUUAUUCCAAUACCGAUUUUGGUUGGUUAAUACAACGUAGAGAUCAUCUUUAUUUCUUUAAAGUAGAAACGACAGAGAAACAUAAAUCAAAUUUUAAAGUAAAUUAUAAACUUACAAACAUUAUUGGCAUACAAAUAAAACAAAACCUUUCAGGUAAGAAAAAUUAUUUUUAAACUUAAUUAAUGCAUUCAAAAGUACACACAAACAUAUCUAACACACUUUGACAAAUAAUAUAACACCGUUGGACAAUCCGACCUAGUAAAGCAGGGAAUCUUUUUUAUCUUUUCUGCAUUAGAAAUUUUUUAAAAAUAAAUAAAGUUAUUAAAAUGUGAUAAAAUAUUGUGUAAAAGAUAAAUUGAAAAUGGUGCGAAAAAUAAAAUACCUUCACUGGCUUCAUUGGUUUCAUUGGUUUCAGUUACAAAUACAAAAUGAAAGAUGAUCAAAGCAUAAAUAAAUAUUAGAAUUUGAGUCAUAUUUUUUCUCUUUUUCUUUUGUAUUAUAUAUUUUUUUCUCUUUUUGUAGGUAAUAAACAUAAUAUUUUGAUUGCUUUAUACGUAAAAUGUACAUGCCUUGUUAGCAUCAAUUAAGUUUUUUUUUAACACUUAGGAGUUGG